AUUGAACGCUGGCGGCAGGCCUAACACAUGCAAGUCGAGCGGAUGAAGGGAGCUUGCUCCUGGAUUCAGCUGCGGACGGGUGAGUAAUGACUAGGAAUCUGACUGGUAGUUGGGGAUAACAUCCGGAAACGGGCGCUAAUACCGCAUACGUCCUGAGGGAGAAAGUGGGGGAUCUUCGGACCUCACGCUAUCAGAUGAGCCUAGGUCGGAUUAGCUAGUUGGUGGGGUAAAGGCCUACCAAGGCGACGAUCCGUAACUGGUCUGAGAGGAUGAUCAGUCACACUGGAACUGAGACACGGUCCAGACUCCUACGGGAGGCAGCAGUAGGGAAUAUUGGACAAUGGGCGAAAGCCUGAUCCAGCCAUGCCGCGUGUGUGAAGAAGGUCUUCGGAUUGUAAAGCACUUUAAGUUGGGAGGAAGGGCAGUAAGUUAAUACCUUGCUGUUUUGACGGUACCAACAGAAUAAGCACCGGCUAACUUCGUG
Molecule: ribosomal RNA, 484 nt
Filed under: uncultured bacterium
Lineage: Bacteria
Description: partial 16S ribosomal RNA
Rfam family: Bacterial small subunit ribosomal RNA
Source: RNAcentral